RNAcentral lists this ribosomal RNA (492 nucleotides) under uncultured bacterium. Its description in RNAcentral is "partial 16S ribosomal RNA". It matches the Rfam family "Bacterial small subunit ribosomal RNA", at positions 29 to 507 of the family's 1533-position model. The record is from RNAcentral.
AGUGAACGCUGGCGAUAGGCCUAACACAUGCAAGUCGAACGGCAGCACAGUAAGAGCUUGCUCUUACGGGUAGCGAGUGGCGGACGGGUGAGGAAUACAUCGGAAUCUACUUUUUCGUGGGGGAUAACGUAGGGAAACUUACGCUAAUACCGCAUACGACCUACGGGUGAAAGCAGGGGAUCUUCGGACCUUGCGCGAUUGAAUGAGCCGAUGUCGGAUUAGCUAGUUGGCGGGGUAAAGGCCCACCAAGGCGACGAUCCGUAGCUGGUCUGAGAGGAUGAUCAGCCACACUGGAACUGAGACACGGUCCAGACUCCUACGGGAGGCAGCAGUGGGGAAUAUUGGACAAUGGGCGCAAGCCUGAUCCAGCCAUACCGCGUGGGUGAAGAAGGCCUUCGGGUUGUAAAGCCCUUUUGUUGGGAAAGAAAAGCAGCAGGUUAAUACCCCGCUGUUCUGACGGUACCCAAAGAAUAAGCACCGGCUAACUUCGUG